RNAcentral lists this transfer RNA (73 nucleotides) under Vulpes vulpes (red fox). It matches the Rfam family "tRNA". Rfam says of the family: Transfer RNA (tRNA) molecules are approximately 80 nucleotides in length. Lineage: Eukaryota; Metazoa; Chordata; Mammalia; Carnivora; Canidae. The record is from Rfam by way of RNAcentral.
ACCUAGCUGGCUCAGUCAGUAGAGCAUGAGACUCUGGAUCUUGGGGUUGUGAGUUUGAGCUCCAUGUUGAGUG